UACAUAGGGAGCAAGCGUUAUCCGGAUUUAUUGGGUGUAAAGGGUGCGUAGACGGGAAAUUAAGUUAGUUGUGAAAUCCCUCGGCUUAACUGAGGAACUGCAACUAAAACUGAUUUUCUUGAGUACUGGAGAGGAAAGUGGAAUUCCUAGUGUAGCGGCGAAAUGCGUAGAUAUUAGGAGGAACACCAGUGGCGAAGGCAGCAUACCGGCGCCCGACUGACGCUGAAGCACGAAAGCGUGGGUAUCGAACAGG
This 253-nucleotide ribosomal RNA is filed under the name uncultured Eubacteriales bacterium. RNAcentral describes it as "uncultured Clostridiales bacterium partial 16S ribosomal RNA". It matches the Rfam family "Bacterial small subunit ribosomal RNA", at positions 524 to 776 of the family's 1533-position model. The record is from RNAcentral. Lineage: Bacteria; Bacillati; Bacillota; Clostridia; Eubacteriales.